GGGGGAGUUUGGGGGGCUAAUCUGUUGUUUGUCCCAAUUGUUAACUAGCUUCUCAGGCUUUAUGAUUUUUUUUAAAUUUCUUAAUUUUUGUUUUAUUUUUAUUAAAUUAUAGUUGAUUUACAGUGUUGUGUCAAUUUCUGCUGUACAGCAUUGUGACCCAGUCAUACAUGGAUAUAUAUACAUUCUUUUUCUCAUACAAUCAAGCUUUUCCAGCUGGGUCUUCCAAUGAACCAUCUAAUAGAUCAAAUAUCACUUCUCUAGGAAUGCAGGUUUGGAAGAGCCUGAGCUCUGUGUUGCUCCCUCAAAUAUUGGGAAUGCAGGCUCUUUUUUUCAAGGCUACUGCUGAGUUGGAAGUGGGAGUUUGGAGCCACUAUUCUUACUAAUAUUCAGUAGUUUUUCUUGAAUAAAUGUUUCCUGGGUUGCUGCAAACCUCUGGUUAAUUACCAGAGUUCUGAAAAAAAAUAGAUUCCAUUUUGCCAGUCCCUUGUUGAUGUUGCUGUUGCUUUUAUGGAAGGAUACAUUUCUGGAUGCUAUUUUCAAUACAUAUCACCAUCAGUAAGUAGUAAAUUAACCUUACCAAAACUGAACUAAUGUAAUACAGUCAGUUCACUAGUACUGACCAUUCAAUUUUGUAUACUAACAAAGGGGAAAGUAUACUAAACUUGAUUAAUUAAUUAAUUAAAUUUAAAAUAAGCAAACGCAAAUUAGGCAUUUCGACAUUUCAGCUAUGAAACAUGACUGUAGGUAAUGACACAGGGAUAUCUUCUGCAAAUAUGAAGAACAAUUAAAUAUAAGCACACUUGAGUGACUACUUAGGAGAAACUAUUCAAUGGCAGCUCUAGGAUCUAAAAGCAUAAAUCAGAAUUUUUAAAAUUAGGACAACAAAUUAUAAGACACAGCUAAUAAAGUUAACUCAUCAAAAUGAAAGCUAAUGCUCUUUAUUAGAAACAGCCUGCAUAAGAAUAUUAAACUCACUUUGUACUUAAACUCUCAUCAAGGAUGAUUGAUGAUAAAAGAAAAAACUAAGAGGAAACAUAUUUUUGUGACUGUACUUUUAUUUGCUGAUCCGACAGAAAACCAAAUGUCUACUACACAAAGAAUGAGUUCAUAACGGAAAAACACCACAGCAUCUAAAUUGGCUGUACAUUGUACUAAGUCAAAAACAAACGAAAAUGCUCUCUGUGAAAACAAAGUUGACUUGCUAAUUGUAUUGGUAACUUUGCAUUUUCUUUCAGUUAGAGUUUUAUUUUUAAAUUCAGUCUCCCCAAGUGAAAUGAAGUUUUUUAAAAUCAUGUAUUUCAUAUUUGUCCUCACAGUAAUCGAUGAAGCAGAUGAGAUCAAUAGAAGUGUUCUGGGAGACACAGAAUUCUAAAUUAAAUGAUAAAGUAUGGCUUAAAAUGACACAGACUAAGAGCUCUUUCAGUUGGAUCUUUCAGUAUUAAAAAGCCCACUUUAAUUUGAUACCUUUUGGGGCAAAGACAACAAAGACAUCUAGUUAACGAUAGUGCAUCAUUACAGAAGGCAAUUUAGAAGUGUAAGCAGAGUCAAUCCUUUUCUACAAAGUCAUCACAAACUCCUAGAUUAACUAAAAGGACUACCAUUGUCCUUUAAAUUGUACCACAGGGCUUUAAAAUGCUAAUGUCCCUCUAAGAGUUUGACUGUCUCUCAGGUUCAUGGAUUAAUCCUUAAUCUCACUUAUAAAGACUUUCUGUUGUAAUUACAGUUACUUCUACAACACAAACAAUUUAUUGUCCAUUAUUUUCUGUGUUUUAACUGCAUUUUUUUUAUUUAACUAAUAUGCUCCUGGAGUUCUUAUAUUUCUAUAUCACCCUCUUCUCUCCUUUUUUCUUUUACUCACAAAGUCCUCCUCUCCUUUCGCAUUCCAUCCCAGCUAUUUUCUGGGCAACAAGUGCAUUAAUGCUUUUGAAUGCAGUUUAGAAACUCUCGAAUCUUCCCUAAUUAAUUGAAAGAAAUGUUUCCACUUUACACUGGUUCUGUCCUGUCUAUAUAUAAUUUUGAGACUUCCUCCUAUUUCACCCCUCAUUUUCAAAAACUCACUGUCCGUAGGGGACCACAGAUAGAGAGAAACCUAGGGAACUUUGGGAGACCAAAGUGAUCACUCAAGAAAGCUGUCAGAACAAAGCUGGCUCAAUUAACUAUAAAACCAUAAAUAAAAGCAUGAGCUAUGACUCAGGCCAUUAAGGGAAAGAUAAAAUGAGGCCUGCAUGCAAGUUCAGCAAGAUAAUGAUCCUUAGGACCAAGGACAGGAACUUAAGGGAAAGAUGACAUUCCAAAGUAGGAGACCCUCAUUACACAGAAACCUGGGGUGAUUCAACACAUUUUAGCAUGUGUUACUGCCCUUCUGCUGAUUUGAAUAAACACCAAGACAGUCCUAGUUUGACCUCAGAGGGUCAAAUACUCUCUUACCUGUUACAAAGGAGGAGCUAAUGAUGUAAGCCUGAUGUCUACCCGAAGAAUGAGGAAAAAGGCAGUCUUUUCCCCUUCCCACUUUCCUUGAAUUAGAAAAAUGUAGCCCACCUAAUGAUGCUCGGGGCAGAGCUUCUUUGCCUGCCUGCUUUCAUCUCUCACAAGCUUCCGAUCUUAAUAAAUCUGUUUAUUGCCCAUCACUUUGUCUCUCACUGAAUUCUUUCUGCACUGAGACACAAAGAACCGGAACAUCAGUAAGUCCAGAUGCCAGGCAAGUGAUUCUAAUUAAAAAACCGUAGGUUCAAGUCCCAAUCUGGCUUUUUGCUGGGUUUGAGUCCUGGCACAAGGGUUUACGUCCCAAUCUGUGUUCUGGCUAGGUUCAAGUCAUAAGUGUUAUCGGUUUCAAAACAAUUCACAUUUUAUAGAUUUGUCUUAUUGGAAAUUCCUGUAGCACUUGAAAUUGACCAAUCUUGCCUUACUAAAUGCUCUUUGGCUUCCGUAAUAUUGCACCCUUUUAAUUUUUCUUCUGCUCCUUUGGGCCAUGCUGCUCAGCCUCCUCUUCAGUCCCACCUCCUAUCUUUAUUUCUCCACUGCUUGUUUUCGUAGCAGAUCUCCUAAAGACUCACCUCUUUUUAUGAUAUAUUCUUCAUGUGUGAUUGCAUCUCUCUCGGUUACAAUUUCUAGCUUUAAAUUUAUGAUUCCCAAAGAACCUUUAGCUGGGAACUUUCUCUAGAGCUUCACAUCUCCAAAUCCAACUGCCUUCUGAAUAUCUCCAUGUGUUUGUCUGACAGGAUCCAAAAUAUAAUCCAUCAAAAACUGAAAUCAUUUUUAGCCCCACAGUUUCUGCAUCUCCUCUCUGAUUCUGGAUCCCAGUGAUUGCUGCCACAGAAGCAGCAGAUGUAGUUGGCUACCUCCCCCACAUCCAUCCUUGCCCUUUUCUCCUUCCUAAUAAAAAUGCAGUUGUGUUCAGAUUUUCACCUCCCUCCACGAGACACCUGAGCUCUAGCCCUGGUGUGUCUUGGUUGCCUGAAGAUACUUUAAAUCAAUAAUGGUGGAAUAAUUUCCCUUGCCGGUAAAUGGUUUGCAUGAGCCUAUGAUAAAAUCCUGGACAGUGAGACAAGAGCUGAAGUCGGCUGAGGUGUUUCUGUAAAGGUUUCUCACUCUUAAUAAAAGACACAGAAAGAAACUUCCCCCUUUGUUGCCCUUGAAUGUUGAUAGCCUUGGAUUGAUACCUGAAAAAGUUGCAGGCAUAUUGUGUUUCCAGGAAUAUUUGCCUGAGAACAAACACAUGACAUGAUAGAAGACAGAACCAAAAGAACGGUAAAGAAGCAGAACUAGAGUCCCCUUCCUCAGGCUG
This 3784-nucleotide long non-coding RNA is filed under the name Sus scrofa (pig). RNAcentral describes it as "lncRNA (ENSSSCG00045021179.1)". Lineage: Eukaryota; Metazoa; Chordata; Mammalia; Artiodactyla; Suidae. The record is from RNAcentral.